UAAUCCAACAGCAUCUCCUGCAUGCGUGUCUGCUGUACCUUGCUUCAAAGGGGGAACGAGGGAAACCAUCCUUUCUGCCUGGCCCUGUUGUGGAGCACUGCUUGUGCUUGGAGCUGCUUGCAGGGAUGCUCCUCGAUGUGUGGUUUGUGCUCCAGGUGCUUCCAAGAGUGGAAUUGAGGGACUACUGCUAAAGAAAACUCAGGCCUGGGGAGCACGUCGGUCUGCUCGUCUCAGCUGUGUCUUCACGUGAAGGCAGCCAAUGCGCACUAAGCGUGCUGAUGAAAUGUGCAGGAGCUGAGGCUCUGCUGCCCUGCCUCCCUGGCAGCCACCCCCAGCAGCAGCAGGAUGCUCCGAGGCAGCAGUGGAUGGCGUUUGAAGCUGUGGCUGGGCUUCCGCUCGUGGGCAGGCACGUGCUGCUGAAGGACAGGGUCUGCUCUCUUCUUCCAGUGCUGUUACGCUUGUUAGGUAUGCACGCAGGAGCUGUGGUCUGGUGGAUGCCCG
This 501-nucleotide long non-coding RNA is filed under the name Gallus gallus (chicken). RNAcentral's name for it is "long non-coding RNA NONGGAT008856". Lineage: Eukaryota; Metazoa; Chordata; Aves; Galliformes; Phasianidae. The record is from RNAcentral.